AUUAAUUCCUUUACAAGCAUUCAUAUGUAUUAUUUGUAUUGAUUAAAGAAAAGUCAUCACUGACCUGGGAAUUUUUAACAAAAUAGAAGAAAUCAUAGCAUGGGUUAAAAAGAAGGAGGCAAGGAGAAGUAUUUCAAUGAAACAUUCAUUUUCCAUAUCUUUAUUUUACAUGAUACGGAUUCAAGAAUGGGGAAAAGCAUAACACAGCUCUCAAUUAACUACAAAUCUCACUCUUUUCUACAAUGGUAAUGAAAAAUCAAACUAAAUAAAACCUCAAAAGAUUACCAGAAUUAACAAAAGUCAGAAAAGACAAAUACAUGUUAUUUUUUUAACACCAAGAGGGCUUAGGAAGCAGCAGCCAAAGGAGGCGGCGUUGGAGGAACUCCAUGGAAAAAGCUUUGAUUCGACCCAUAACUCAAAUUUUC
This is a long non-coding RNA of Hibiscus syriacus, 425 nucleotides long. RefSeq lists it as uncharacterized. The record is from RefSeq and is a predicted model, not a curated record. Lineage: Eukaryota; Viridiplantae; Streptophyta; Magnoliopsida; Malvales; Malvaceae. The transcript has 2 exons.